Molecule: long non-coding RNA, 1410 nt
Filed under: Pan troglodytes (chimpanzee)
Lineage: Eukaryota; Metazoa; Chordata; Mammalia; Primates; Hominidae
Description: long non-coding RNA NONPTRT012636
Source: RNAcentral
CCCUGCCAAUCCCCAGCCCUGCAUCAACCCAACUGUUAACUUUCUCAGCUCCCGCUUCCAGGCAGCUGAGCAUGGGCAGAGAAAAAUCACAUAACUCCAUUUACUGGCACUCUGACAAAUCUAUGUUCUCCAGUAUCAGCUGGGCCCUCUGUGCUACUGGCGGUCCUUUUAUUUCUCCCCAGUCAGCUCAGUUUCAGAUUUCCCUUACAGCUGUUCCAAACUAUUAACAUGCUUUACAAUCCCCUCAUUCUAAGCAGAUGACCUUGCUCAUUUAUCACAAACAAAAUAGAGCUCCUCUUCUUCCCCUCCAUCAGCAAACUGACCCAUGAGGACACCUAGCUUUUCCCUCCCUUUUUUGCAAGUCAAAGAAGAGUAAUCUCUUCAAAUCCCUGAAGUUAUAGAAUAUUGGACACCAUCUCCUCAGGCAUCUUCAGGGACCUCAUUACAUCAGGCAUGUCCCCUCACACUUUGGCGUCUUUAAUCUAUCACUCUCUGAACUCUGCCUUCUACAUUUCAGUCUACACAUUGGCUCAGCUUUUUCCUUGUCACCAUGUGUGAGCAUGCAUGUGUGCAAACACACACACACACAGAAGCACAAUUCUUUAAUCAUUUCAGCCUCUCACUCAUGCUGCAAAUUGUCUUGUAUAGUAAUUAUCUGUUUACAUGGCAGUUUUCAAUUGGUCCAGUGGUUUUUAAUCGUUGUCAUGUCACAGAUCCCUUGAAAAUCUGAUUAAAGAAAUGGAUCUUCUCCCCAGAGACACGCACAUACCGACACAGACACACACACACACAAAUGUACAUACAAUUCCAGGUUGCUCACAGACCCCCUCUAGGAGAUGUUACUGUCGCUCAUUCGUAUUUCCGGUUCUACUCCUCUUCCGGGCACACUGGAGAAUUACACUUCCUUGCUGACUUGAGAUAAGUCACAGCUUUGGCCAAUGAAGUGUGAAUGGAAGUUUUCAGAACCUUUAAGAGCCUGUACGCAAUUUGCCAUGCUUUCUCUUUUUGCUUUGUCACCAAAACCUCUGCGUUCCAGAUAGUGACUACUCUGUCUGCGUGGGUCCUGGAGAGAGGAGGAUGCAGAGCACAGCACUUAGCCAACCUGCAAUGGACACGUAGAAUCCUCCUUACUGUCUUGUGUUCAAUGCUGAAGACCUGGUGUCCAUGCCUAACAUAACCUGAAGGUGCCUCUUGAAUGGAUCACAUUUGGCUUUCCUUAUGUCCUUGCUCACUAUCAUGGCUACCACGAGAGCCAAGGCAACCCACAGAGAUGGACUUGAAGUGAGAAAUCUACUCUGACCUUUGCCAGAACAUCCAGCUCAGAUUUUGGCCUAGGAAAAACGAAUUCCUUAUUUAUUAACGCCACUGUUGGAUUGUGGCUGGCAAGAUGACUGAAUAGGAACAGCUCCG